Molecule: long non-coding RNA, 4683 nt
Organism: Pseudopipra pipra
Lineage: Eukaryota; Metazoa; Chordata; Aves; Passeriformes; Pipridae
Exons: 2
Source: RefSeq, a predicted model, not a curated record
CGUCAGGAAAAAAAAAAAUUCCUCAUGGAGAGGGUUUCCAAGCAUUUAAACAGUCCGCGCGCCGUCCCUGGUGGUGUUUAACGUAGAUUUAAAAGCCCCGUGGCUGCGGCACGUUGCGAACAGGGCUCAGCGGUGUUAGGUUCGCAGCCGGACUCAGAAAUCGCCUCCACCCUAAAUGAUGCUCCGAUUGUCACUUUGCAGUUGUAAGCAGGUGCUUUUCGCCUUAAAACCCUGGUUUUCACGUGAUUUCACGAUUCUGGUGUUAAGGAAACUUCCCUGCCCGACCGUCCAGGAGCCGCUCUGGCGGUGACACUGUUGCACCGCCUUCGGUCCUCCUGCAGCUGCACCCGGAGCUGCCUGCACUGAAUAUGUUCCUCGGCUCCAGCACCAGAGAAUUCAAAAUUUCUCUGAUCUGCAGCAGCACAUCGUGUCAAUCUGUGUUUACGAAUCUGUUUUUUUAAAUUGACCCAUUGAAACAAAAUGUUUAUAAAGCACAGCUGCUACCAUGAGCACAGAAGCUCACCAGAUGAGGAGCAGUAUUUUGAGGAAGUCAUCUUGGGAAGGAAAAGCUUUUGUGAAGCUGGAAUUUAAGCAUUUUUGAAUGAGAAUCUUUUUUCCCAAUAGAAAUUUUAAACUUCAGUAAUGUUGACUGUCUAGUAAAUUCAUCAUCAUAUAGAUCUCAUAUCAUGAACAUCAGACAAUAUCCUAAAUCCAGAGUGAGUUGUGAUAGAAUCAUAGAAGCAUAGACAGUUUGGGUUGGAAGGGACCUGAAAGAUCAUCUGCUUCCUACAUCUGUGGCAUGGUCAGGGACACCUUCCACUAUUCCAGGUUGCUCAGAGCCCCAUCCAACCUGGCCUUGGACACUUCCAGGGAUGGGGUAGCCACAGUUUCUCUGAGCAACCUGUGCCAGGGCCUCCCCACCCUCCCAGGGAAGAAUUUCUUCCUAAUAUCCAAUCUAAACCUCCUCUCUGUCACUUUGAAGCCAUUUCCCUUUGUCCUGUCACUCCAGGCCCUUGGAAAAAGUCCCUCUCCAUCUUUCUUGUGGGUUCCCUUCAGGUCCUGGAAGGCCACCAUUAGGUCACUCCAAAGCUUCUCUUCUCCAGGCUGAACAAUCCCAACUCUCUCAGCCUUUCCUCACAGCAGAGCUGCUCCAUCCCUCUGAUCACCUUGGUGUCCCUCCUCUGGACUCACUCCAACAGCUCCAUGUCCUUGCUGUGCUGGGUCCCCAGAGCUGGAGGCAGCACUGCAGGUGGGUCUCCCUAGAGCAGGGCAGAGGGGCAGAAUCCCUCCCACCACCUGCUGCCCACACUACUUUGGGUGCAGCCCAGGGCACGGGGGGUUUCUGGGUCCAGCCUCUGACCCACCAGCACCCCCAAGUCCUUCUCCCCAGGGCUGCUCUCCAGCUGUUCAUCCCCAGCCUGGGUUGAUACCAGGGUGGUUGAUAUCCUGACCCAGGUGCAGUACCAACACUUGAUCUUGUUAAACCUCAUGAGAUUCCCAUGGGCCACUCUUGGAGCUUGCCCAGGUCCCUGUGGAUGGUUCCAAUCCUUCAUGUGUGUCAACCCCUCAGCUGCAAAAUUGCUGAGGGUGCACUUCGUCUGUGUCGUUAAUGAAGAUAUUAAAUGACACUGGUCUGGUCUCCAUGCAACAACAGCUGGCAAUUAGGAACACAAAAGUGAAAUCAUCAAGGAAUGCAGCCCACUUGUCAUUUGGGAUCCGAUCUUGCUCUCACAAGUACACCAGCCCAGCAGAAACCCAGGCCGAACUGCCUCAGCUUUGUCCUCUCCCGCUUGUCCCCGUGCGUAAUCCGUGCCCGCUGGUGUUGAAGAGAUGCAUAAACCCCACAGAGGGACUGUGCCGUUCCUUUCCCGGCCUGGAAUGCCCGGGAGCUCCCGCGGGAGCCCCGGCACGAACCGGGCCGUGGGCGCGGCGGUGCCGCCACCGCGCGGCCACCCCGAGCUCUGCACCUUCCCAUCCCCAUCCCCAUCCCACCGCCUUUCCCUUGGAGGGCACGUCCCACCCAAUCUUUUGCUCUGCUGCUGCUGCUCGUUAAGGAGAAUCACGUCCGCGUUUUAGGCAUUCCCGUUGCAAAUCGCUACAGCGUUAGGCCAAGCCUUAAUACCCAAACUUGGGAGAUUAAACAGUAACCAUCAGCGUGCUCCAGAAAGAUCUUUGUUGUGGGUAAGAAGCAAAUCCAAAGAAACUGAAAUAAAAAGCUUCUCAGAGAAGCAGAGAAGUUGAACUUAGAAUCAUAGAAUCACGGCAUAUCCUGAGCUGGAAGGGACCCACAAGGAUCGUGGAAGUCCAACUCCUGGCCCUGCACAGGACACCCCAAGAAUCACACCACGUGCCUGAGAGUGGUGUCCAAAUGCUUCUUGAACUCUGUAAAGCUUGGUGCUGUGCCUACUGUCCUGGGGAGCCUGUUCAGUGCCCAACCACCCUCUGGGGGAAGAACCUCUUCCUGAGAUCCAACCUAAACCUACCCUAAUGCAGCUCCAGCUGUUCCCUUGGGUCUGUCACUGGUCACCACAAAAGCAGAGAUCAGGGUCUGCCUAUUUACUGCCCCUUGUGAGGAAGCUGUAGGCUGCAAAGAGGUCUCCUCUCAGAGGGAACUUGAGGAAGCUGGAAAAAUUGAGAGAAAUUUUUGUUUAGGUGUACUGGGUAACAAUGCUGAUUUCAUUCCUCAUCCUUCAGCUGGUUAUGUCCCAUUCACAACUUUGUUCAAGUUCUGAAAACCCUCCUUAUCAGAAAGGUCAAUCUAUUGCUCUUCAGGUAUGCUUGUGGGUCCCCUGUCAGAUGAACCAGAGCUUUUGCUCUAAGAAGUAUUACCAAAUAGUUUGAGGAGCCAAAUGCAGCUGGUCUGCUGACCUUUCUCUCUCUCUCUCCUUCCCUGCUCUGUCCUAAUUCUUCUUGUACUUUCUGCAUGUUACAUUUUGGAAGAGCUCAAACAACAUCCCAGUUUAUUUUUAGAGAAAGCUCAAUAGUAAGAGCAAGCUAUCACCCCAUCAUUUCCACAGAAGGAUAAGCAUUUAAAGACACAGACAUUUUCCCUUUUUUUUUCCUUUUUUUUUUCCCCUUUGCAUCAGCUCCUUUCUUCUUGUCUUUCAGGAUGCAGCAAAACUCAGAGCAGCCUCGGUGUUUUUUCAUACCUAAGUGUAAAUACUUCAGCUUUACUCACCUUACUUUGUAAUCCUAACAGGUCUUGAUUUAAUGUGUCCAUCAAAGGAGCUGCUCACUUGAAGCCCACCUGAGCACUGGCCUCAUGUUCUCCCUGGCAAGUGUCUUCACUAAGACUCCCACAAUUUUCAUUGUUAUCUCCUGGAAGCAUCAGCAGUAACAUCAGCUGCCACACACACUUUUUGGUGUCAAAAUAUUGUGGUACCUGUUCCCCCGAGGCUGCACACAGCUGGAAUGCAAAUCACCUUUGAGAAUCAUUUUAAAUAGAAUCACAAUGCCUUUUAAAUAGAAUCACAAUCUCAGAAUCACAGAGUAAUGUUGGAAGGGACCACAGUGGGGCAUCUGGUCCCACCUCCCUGCUCCAGCAGGGUCAUCCCAACGCACAUGGUACAGGAUUCCAGACAGCUCUGGAAUAUCCCCAGUGAGGGAGACUCCACACCCUCUCUGGGCAAUCUGUUCAGUGCUCGGUCACUGCACAGCAAAGAAGUUCUUCCUCAUGUUCAGCUGGAACUUCCUGGGCAUCAGUUCCUGCCUCUUGUCCCAUUACUGCCCCCCCGUCCCGCCCCCCCGGGCAGAGCCUGGUCCAUCCUCUGCCCCCUCCCUGCAGACACUGACACACAUGGAUGAGGUCCCCUCUCAGUGUCUCCUCUGGAGGCUGAACAGCCCCAGCUCCCUCAGCCUUUCAUCAUAAGAGAUAUCAUCAUUACAUUUAGAAAAGCAAAAGUGUGUUUGGUUUGCUUUUAAUAUUUCAAGUAGGUACAAAGUAAAUGUGGUACACUUAGCUUUCUCCACAGAUCUAAAGGGAUCCCCAAAGAGCUUUUGGAAAUAAACUUUCCCUUAACUGGGAGGAAAGAUUCAGCAAGCUGUGGGGGUGAAGAAGCAGAGCAUAGCCUCUUUCCCUGCCCUUCCAGCUUUGAUUUGCUGGCAGCACAGAGAAGGCUCUACCACAAUUCUCUAAUACCUGAAUGCAACUACUCUGUCUUUAUACCUGCAAGGGGAUGCAGAAAGGUGAGAGAGUGUAUCAGCAACAGAGCUACAAAGCCAUGUGGUUUUCCGGGCUUUUUCUUACCCAUGAAAAGUUAAAAUAGACCUUUUCUACCUGCCUUUCCAUCAACAUUACAUUUACUGAGGUGACUAAUAAUUUACAGUAUGAGGCAUGAACAAGGUGGAGUUGGUAGGAAAAUUACUAAUCUGUUGAAGAGCUCCCACUGUCUUCCAGCAGGGAAAGAAUUUCAUUCUGCUUGUGCUGGUUGCAUGAGAUUUGAUGGGAACUUUGUUUUUAGGGCAGCAUGGAAUAAAGAGCAACUACAUAGUUACUGGACAAAUUAAAAAACACACAGCAAUUGCAAUAGAAGACUUUGAAGACUCCUGGAACAAGCAUUCAGGAUAAGUUCAUUGAAACACAAAGGAAAAUUCCCUGCAUUUCUUGUCCCCACAGAAAAAUUUUGGGAAAUGUAAAAUAAAAAAUAACCUAACUCGUAUUCUGAGAUUGGAAACACCAAGCAA